RNAcentral lists this ribosomal RNA (482 nucleotides) under uncultured bacterium. Its description in RNAcentral is "partial 16S ribosomal RNA". It matches the Rfam family "Bacterial small subunit ribosomal RNA", at positions 30 to 507 of the family's 1533-position model. The record is from RNAcentral.
AUUGAACGCUGGCGGCAUGCUUUACACAUGCAAGUCGAACGGUAACAGGCCGCAAGGUGCUGACGAGUGGCGAACGGGUGCGUAAUGCAUCGGAACGUGCCCAGUCGUGGGGGAUAACUACUCGAAAGAGUAGCUAAUACCGCAUACGAUCUAUGGAUGAAAGCGGGGGACCGUAAGGCCUCGCGCGAUUGGAGCGGCCGAUGUCAGAUUAGGUAGUUGGUGGGGUAAAGGCUCACCAAGCCAACGAUCUGUAGCUGGUCUGAGAGGACGACCAGCCACACUGGAACUGAGACACGGCCCAGACUCCUACGGGAGGCAGCAGUGGGGAAUUUUGGACAAUGGGCGCAAGCCUGAUCCAGCAAUGCCGCGUGCGGGAAGAAGGCCUUCGGGUUGUAAACUGCUUUUGUACGGAACGAAACGGCUCUGGUUAAUACCCGGGGCUAAUGACGGUACCGUAAGAAUAAGCACCGGCUAACUACGUG